GGGGGGGGGGGGGGGGGGGGGGGGGGGGGGGGGGUGGGGGGAGGGGAGGAGGGGCUGGGUGCUGUGAGGGUAGGGGCGGACGUGGGGGUGCGACGUGGAUGAGCUCCGUCUACUCCUGGGGGACCUUCGGGGCCCCGUCGCUAAUACCGGAUGAUCUAUUGGAGCGCCUGGUUCCGGCGGGAAAGACGGUCUUGCUGUCCCUUUUCGCUGGAUCCGCGCUGCAUUAGCUAGUUGGAAAGGUAACGGCUUACCACGGCAACGAUGCAUAGCCGACCUGCGAGGGUGAGCGGACACACUGGAACUGAGACACGGUCCAGACUCCUAGGGGAGGCAGCAGUAGGGAAUCUGCCGCAAUGGGCGAAAGCCUGACGGAGCAACGCCGCGUGAGUGAUGAAGGUCUUCGGAGCGUAAAACUCUGUUAUUAGGGAAGAACAUAUGUGUAAGUAACUGUGCACAUCUUGACGGUACCUAAUCAGAAAGCCACGGCUAACUACGUG
RNAcentral lists this ribosomal RNA (497 nucleotides) under uncultured bacterium. Its description in RNAcentral is "partial 16S ribosomal RNA". It matches the Rfam family "Bacterial small subunit ribosomal RNA", at positions 39 to 507 of the family's 1533-position model. The record is from RNAcentral.